CCUUUACAAAUUCAGCCUCUGUCUUCUUGAGGAGCUUUACCGCCUAACACCGCCGACGAGAGCUCCUGGAAAAACACAAGUUCUGCUCGGGCAGCAGGAAGAGAGUUGACGCGCUUCAAACUGGUUGGUUUUGUUCCGGGGUUUGGCUCUGACUCUACGGCCGCAUCUACGUGAAAGGGACGGCUUUUUUUCUUCCCAACAGCCACGCCAGAGGUCGACUGUCCUUCAGCAGGAGCAGGAAAGAGGAAGACUAGCCAACGGGGCGUCAAGAGCCCUCAUACAAUGAUGCCUCUUGUCUUGGGUUUCUGGCUCGGUGACCACACCUGGGAAAGACAAGGCAAAAAGCGUGGGCAGCCGUAAGACUCCCACUGCACAGAGCAGCAUGUGCAACAAUGGGGCACAUUCUGCUGUAUAUAACCAUGAGAGGAGCAGAAGAGGAAGUAUUUGGACAAAUGGAGGACAUAUUGAGACGAAGUUUGUUGGACGUCGGGGUUGGUUAGAUAUUUUGAAAGGUAAAACAGGACAUGCUUUACUUUGAUCAGGCACUGUUAUUUUCACAGCUUGUUUCUACCAGCUAGAAUUUUCUGGGCUAAUCUUUUUUCACUCUUUCUUUCUCUCUCUCCCUCUUUUCUUCCUCAGAGGGCCUGCAGCACUGGUUUAUAAUGCUGAUGAUUAACUAAAUAAAGUCUGGGAGAGCAGGUCUGCUUGGCUUUCUCAUUUCAUGGGGCCUGACUGACCAGGAGGAAGACGGAGCGUUCUCAGGCAGCAGGCUGGAAAUUCAAGAUCUUUUUUCUCUUUCUUUUUCAGCCCCCUCCCUCCAAACAUACUCACUUUACUUUGGUUUUGUUACAUUCUUUCCUUGGGGUACCUUUCAUGACGGUAAGGUUACAGGUGCAUUCUCCAUUUUCCUUCUCCACCUUCUUUCCCUGAACUUUUCCCUCCCUUAUACUCUCUUUUCUUUCUCUCUCCUUCUCCCUCCCCCCUCUCUCUCGUGCUCUACUUUUGCACUGCUUGCAGGAUGACUAGAAACCUGUUCUUUCUUAAUGAAUUCAAUGUCUCUCCUUUGCAUUUGGGUUUCUGUUCUGAGAGAAAUUUCAUUGAAGAUUUUAAGAAGAGAAGGCACAAUCUCAUUGCUUUAAACAUUAGAACAAGAAAAAAAAAUCUCUAUUAUUAACCUACACGUUUAAAAAAAAAAAAAUAUUGUAUAUCUAAUGCAACUAAAUAUUCAGUAUAAUGGAUACUUAGGAUAACUGGAUAAUGGAUAAAAUAUGUAUUUAAUGUUUAAUUUAGAGAAUAAUAAUGUACAUUAAAUGUCAGUCUGGGGUGUGAGGAUUUCACGCGGCGUAUCUGUGAAUGAUCCCUGUUAUUCAGUAAACGAAGGCUGUUUCAGUGACCUUUUGCAUACACAGUGUCGGUUCAGGUCGAGCUGAGCAGCAUUCCAUCAGCCUGUCAUCACUCAGCAAACACAAAGACAACGGCCUGAGAGGUCCACCAGCGGAAAACAGAAAAAAAAAUUGGCUUUUCCUUUCUUCCAUUCCAUAAAACAUCUGUUGAAACGGACUUGACAACACUGCUUUAUUACAGCCAGAAUAGUAUGUUGCAACUUAAAAACACAGUUCCUCAUCUGCUGGGAUAUGAAACAGUUCCCUGAGGCCGAUGUGCUUUUGACUCGGUGGCAUUUUUGAGUGGAUGUAGGCUACGCGACGUACGGUGUUUGAAAUUAGUAACUGCCAUGUAUUGUGUGAAAAGCAGCCCUCCCAACCUUGCCGUGCCAUAGAUUUAGACUAGUCGGAACAGGUUUGGGCAAUCAUUAACAACUACUGUGGCCCAGUCUUCUGUGACAGCGAGUUUAAGCUGAAAACCCCAACCACAACAAGGGCUCAGCAAUUAUACUAUGGAGAGGUGGUCUCCAAAUAUGCACUUCCCCUAUUUACAAUGCUGUUUUUGGGCAAUACACGGCUCAGUUUUAGUUACAACUUUGUCACAAUAAAACUACACAACUUGACUAGAUUAGUGGAAAGGAAAAGCUGCAUAUUUUAGGUUAUAUUUUGUGUUGAAUACUCACUUAUUCCACACUUAGAGAGUUCCACUUUUUUCUUGUAGACAAAGGUAUUUAAGGUUAGGUUUACUGCUCACACCCAAAUCUGAUGUCACAUUCAUUCAUUCAUUCAUUAACCUUUAAUAACUGGCACAGAUAUCACAUUUUGUUGCUGUAUGUUGUACACUUUAGGAGCGUAGUAAUGAGAUGUUUCGUGUUUGGGUGAUUAUCUCCAUCUUACGAGGCAGCAUUGGAUAUCAUCACUUUCUCUAAUACUGCCUGGUAAUGAUGAUGAUAGUCAUCUGCGGACUACAACCGGACAAACCACUUUAGCAAUGUUAGCAGCAACGUGCUCCUGGCCUGGGCCCUGGAAACGGCUGAAAUACUUGAAGCAGCAACAGAAAUGGCUCUCAGGAUCCAUCUUACCUGACAGUGCUGGAUUGUACGACUGUUGUUCUAACACUGUCUGGUAACGAUGUUUUCUGGGUGACUUUGGUCUCCGGUGUGACUGUGGGAUAGUUGCCCAUCAAAUGUUAAAUCCAAACAUGUUAAUGGUUGUUGAAAUUGGUAAGACUCCUUUGACGUCGUCAUUGAAGGGUAAACGUAAUAAGCAGGGUUGGCUCUGUAUCAUGGGGUAGCAUGGCUGGAAAAUAUUUGUUAGGUGUGUCACUUUUUACUCUGAAGUUCAUUCCAAGAAAAGUUUAGCCUUGUGUUUACCAUACACUUGGCUUUAUAGAUGCCACAGGCUGUAUGUCGAUCAGUCAAAAAGAUAAAAGAAAAGUGGCACAGAUGAUGUAUGGUGUUGACAGACUGGGCAUUAGUUAAAAAUACAUGAACAUUUAUGUCUGAGCCUUUUAUUUAAAAAACAGUUUGAGAUGACUAUUGUUGAAGGAUUCCUGUGGGAAAUGAGAAAGAGCAGAUCUUUUACGCAGUAAUGGUUCUAAGGUCAGCAUUUAUGUUUGCUUACUUCCCCAUGUUUUUUUUUUUUUUACUUUUAUGGCAACCCCACCCCACCCAAGUUAAAGAAUAGCAGUCGGUUGAUGGUUCCACCGGUCCUGCAGGGCCUUAUUUCCUUGUUCCCUCCCCUGAACAGUGCUGGUAUUUGUGUUGUGUGGCAGUGAUUGGUCCAGCUAGCCUUACCUGCGUGGCACAUCCUGAAACUGACACAUGAGCUCACCUGAGAGUGCUUGACUGUUAAAAAAACUAAACAAAAACUGAGCUACAGACGCUUUGGCCUCCUCCCAGCUUUUCAAACUUUUAUCCGCGGACAAUAAAAUGAAACCUUAGUGCUUUAGGUAGACAAAAAAUGGAGUCUCUACAACAAAAAUGGACUUUACUUAGUGUGUUAGGUAUGUUACAAAGUAAAACUUAUACUGAUGUCUCACGUCUUUGAUUUAAAACAGUGGAGCUUAAAUAUUACUGAACUGAAGACAGUGAACAAUUUUCAUCAAUGUCUGGACUAAAAUGGGAAUUUAAUGGGUAAAGCCUUCAAACAGACAUGAAAAACAAAGGCAAAUAAUAGACAUGGAGCAAACCGAAACCUAGUGUUUGUUUAAGGAGGGAGAAUUACCCCGCAAAUAUUGAGCCACACCUUUAUUUGCCCACCCAGCUCCAUUAUCCAAGCACAGAAACAUUAAAUAGUUUUUUUUCCUCCAGUUGUCCCUUUUCUCUGUGUUUGCGUCACAUAUUUGUGUAUUAAUGUAAUAAUGUAGAAUCAGAAAGAAUUUACCAAGCUUACUUUGCUUCUUUCCUUGGUCUGUUUAGUCAUAGCUUUCUCUGCAUGCUUGGCCAAUUUAAAUGUACAAAUGAAUCAACAAAAGAGGAACUGCUCAUUUCAACCUGUUUCUGCUGGACUGUUCUGUUUCUUCCAGCUCUCUUCUUCCUCUUUGCACAGGUGAAAGCUCAGAUGUCAUCCUUCCAGCCUGUUGAUAGGCGUCUUACCAGACAUGGUUAGAUGUAAUUACUGGUGUCUAAUACUGUCUGGUAAUGCCGUCCAUUAAAUGGCAUUACCUUCUGCUCUCUUACUUCCCCCUCUCUUGCUCUCGUGCACCUGACAUGCAGUGUAUUGACAAAGGGCAGUCUAGGGAAGCACAUCAACAUAUUCAUAGUAGAGGCAGAUGGGGCUGAAUUAUGAUGACUAUGAAACUAUGAUCCUUGCACUGGAAGAUUGAUUGAGUUCUUGGGGUUUCUUCCAUGUGACUUGAGUCAGAGUUUCUCCAUUGAGCAGCAGUCCAGAGGAGAAGACAGUUCUACUUACAGUCGGCUUUCUUGAUGAAUGCUGCGCUGUAAAUUAGUUUCUAGCAAGAAUGUUAAUGUGAAUGCCGUGUAAAAAAAAAAUGGUUAUAUAAAAUGCUGUGACUUUUAUCUGUUGAAAGAUCUGCUUUCUUCCUCUUACCGCAAUAACUAAAUUCCUUCUGGGGACUUGGCUUUUCUCCAGGUACAGUAGAACAAUGCACACACUUUUUGAGACUUCAUUAUCUAUGACACACUCUGUACAUAAUUUUAACUGUAUUUACUGUGAUAUGAUGUUACGAAAUGUAAAGGAAAAGAUUAAAUAAAUGGGAUAAAAUAUGAAA
This is a long non-coding RNA of Siniperca chuatsi (mandarin fish), 4614 nucleotides long. RefSeq lists it as uncharacterized. NCBI's taxonomy places the organism in Eukaryota, Metazoa, Chordata, Actinopteri, Centrarchiformes, Sinipercidae. The transcript has 2 exons. The record is from RefSeq and is a predicted model, not a curated record.